This 106-nucleotide non-coding RNA is filed under the name Escherichia coli. The record is from RNAcentral. Lineage: Bacteria; Pseudomonadati; Pseudomonadota; Gammaproteobacteria; Enterobacterales; Enterobacteriaceae.
AAGUUUUGGUAUCUGCGCUCCGUGUAAGCCAGUUACCUGGUUCAACGAGUUCCCCAACUCAUUGAACCUUUGAAAAAAACCGCCUCCCCAGGCGGUUUUUUUUCAU